UACGUAGGGUCCAAGCGUUAUCCGGAAUUACUGGGCGUAAAGCGUCUGUAGGCGGCUAAAUAAGUUGGAUAUUAAAUCUUCCCGCUCAACGGGGUAGCUGUAUUCAAAACUGUUUGGCUAGAGCAUGGUAGAGGCAAGUGGAAUUUGUAGUGUAGCAGUGAUAUGCGUAGAUAUUACAAGGAACACCAAUGGCGAAGGCAGCUUGCUGGGCCAAUGCUGACGCUGAGAGACGAAAGCGUGGGGAGCGAACAGG
RNAcentral lists this ribosomal RNA (253 nucleotides) under uncultured bacterium. RNAcentral describes it as "partial 16S ribosomal RNA". It matches the Rfam family "Bacterial small subunit ribosomal RNA", at positions 524 to 776 of the family's 1533-position model. The record is from RNAcentral.